UACGUAGGGUGCAAGCGUUAAUCGGAAUUACUGGGCGUAAAGCGUGCGCAGGCGGUGAUGUAAGACAGUUGUGAAAUCCCCGGGCUCAACCUGGGAACUGCAUCUGUGACUGCAUCGCUGGAGUACGGCAGAGGGGGAUGGAAUUCCGCGUGUAGCAGUGAAAUGCGUAGAUAUGCGGAGGAACACCGAUGGCGAAGGCAAUCCCCUGGGCCUGCACUGACGCUCAUGCACGAAAGCGUGGGGAGCAAACAGG
This 253-nucleotide ribosomal RNA is filed under the name uncultured bacterium. RNAcentral describes it as "partial 16S ribosomal RNA". It matches the Rfam family "Bacterial small subunit ribosomal RNA", at positions 524 to 776 of the family's 1533-position model. The record is from RNAcentral.